This 301-nucleotide ribosomal RNA is filed under the name uncultured bacterium. Its description in RNAcentral is "partial 16S ribosomal RNA". It matches the Rfam family "Bacterial small subunit ribosomal RNA", at positions 509 to 808 of the family's 1533-position model. The record is from RNAcentral.
CAGUACCGCGGUAAAACGAAGGGGGCUAGCGUUGUUCGGAUUUACUGGGCGUAAAGGGUGCGUAGGCGGACUGAUAAGUCAGGGGUGAAAUCCCAAGGCUCAACCUUGGAACUGCCUUUGAUACUGGAGAUCUUGAGUCCGGGGGAGGUGAGUGGAACUGCGAGUGUAGAGGUGAAAUUCGUAGAUAUUCGCAAGAACACCAGUGGCGAAGGCGGCUCACUGGCCCGGAACUGACGCUGAGGCUCGACAGCGUGGGGAGCAAACAGGAUUAGAUACCCGAGUAGUCCCUGUCUCUUAUACA